Dipodomys ordii (Ord's kangaroo rat) is the source of this 65-nucleotide non-coding RNA. The record is from Rfam. Lineage: Eukaryota; Metazoa; Chordata; Mammalia; Rodentia; Heteromyidae.
GGUGGCUCAGUGGUAGAGCACUCGCCUUGUACGCCUGAGGCCCUGGGUUCGAUUCCUCAGCACCA